This 71-nucleotide microRNA precursor is filed under the name Spodoptera frugiperda (fall armyworm). Its description in RNAcentral is "microRNA sfr-mir-10487 precursor". The record is from miRBase by way of RNAcentral. Lineage: Eukaryota; Metazoa; Arthropoda; Insecta; Lepidoptera; Noctuidae.
GGUCUUGGGCGGGGCCCAUGUUUGUCAACUCUAUUCUGUAGCGAGAUCAGACAUGGACUCCACCUCGGAUC